CAUCAGUUUUGAAAAAAAACGAUUUUAAUUUUAUUGGUCUAGCAAUAAACCGCUACUUCAAGUAGCGGUUUGCCUUAAAGAUUCCUAUUCAUCGUUCUCCUUAUUUUCCUCUUUUCCCCUCAACUCCAAACCUUCCUGCUUCCUUUAAUGGCUUCUCUUGCCAUCUCCUUCUCAUCUUCCCUCUCCUCCACCACACCCACCGCACCACCAACCAAACAAAAACUGCCACUUCAUUUUGCUUUUGCACAUAAUUGUGGUUUUUUCAAAUAUAUAUUCCGUUCCGACACAUGUAUAUCCAUUUUCUGAUUUUAGGGUUUAAGCUUCACUUUCACACUCUUCUCCUCCUUAAGUAUAUCAAAAUCAUGAAUUUCAACCAAAUUUGAAGCUACUAUUACCCUAAUUUUCGACAUACUUAGUUUCAGAGGAGAUAUCUAGAGCCAAAGAGUGCAGCUUGAGGAGCGCUAGGAGUGGUGCAGAUGCUCAUGGGAGACACACAACUGGGAUUGCGGGCAAUGUGCCGUCUUCACUUGCCAUCUCCUUCUCAUCUUCCCUCUCCUCCACCACGUCGAACCAUCGAACCCACCAUAGCAGCCCCAGCCACGACCCUCACCCAGCCACCUGCAGCGAAAUCAGAAACUUUCCACAGAAGCUGCUUUAAUGGAGGAGAGAAAGGUGCUUCAAUGGUUAGAUUAACAGUCAAAAGGUGCUUCAAUGGUCGUUCAGAAGUUUUUUUUUUUUAUGUAAAUACUUGAAACCGCAACUUCAAAUAGCGGUUUUCAUAAAAACCGAAAAAAAUUAAAAAAAAAUUAAACCGGUGACAUGGACGGUAAAGCAGAAAUUUAUAAAAAAAAAAAGUGAAAGCAUUUAUGGAA
Long non-coding RNA from Chenopodium quinoa (quinoa), 872 nucleotides. RefSeq lists it as uncharacterized. The transcript has 2 exons. The record is from RefSeq and is a predicted model, not a curated record. NCBI's taxonomy places the organism in Eukaryota, Viridiplantae, Streptophyta, Magnoliopsida, Caryophyllales, Amaranthaceae.